UAGCGUAUAUUAAAGUUGUUGCAGUUAAAACGCUCGUAGUCGGAUUUCGGGGCGUGCGAGCCGGUCUGCCGAUGGGUAUGCACUGGCUUUCGCGCGUCCUUUCUUUCGGAGCUCUCUGCUGCUCUUAGCUGAGCGGUGGAGGGAGACGGAUCGUUUACUUUGAAAAAAUCAGAGUGUUUCAAGCAGGCAGCUCGCUCUUGCAUGGAUUAGCAUGGGAUAAUGAAAUAGGACUCUGGUGCUAUUUUGUUGGUUUCGAACACCGGAGUAAUGGUCAACAGGGACAGUCAGGGGCACUCGUAUUCCGCCGAGAGAGGUGAAAUUCUCAGACCAGCGGAAGACGAACCACUGCGAAAGCAUUUG
Molecule: ribosomal RNA, 360 nt
Filed under: Haptophyta environmental samples
Lineage: Eukaryota; Haptophyta
Description: SSU rRNA
Rfam family: Eukaryotic small subunit ribosomal RNA
Source: RNAcentral